RNAcentral lists this ribosomal RNA (460 nucleotides) under uncultured bacterium. RNAcentral's name for it is "partial 16S ribosomal RNA". It matches the Rfam family "Bacterial small subunit ribosomal RNA", at positions 338 to 795 of the family's 1533-position model. The record is from RNAcentral.
CCUACGGGGGGCAGCAGUGAGGAAUAUUGGUCAAUGGACGAGAGUCUGAACCAGCCAAGUAGCGUGAAGGAUGACUGCCCUAUGGGUUGUAAACUUCUUUUAUAUGGGAAUAAAAUGUUCCACGUGUGGGAUUUUGUAUGUACCAUAUGAAUAAGCAUCGGCUAACUCCGUGCCAGCAGCCGCGGUAAUACGGAGGAUCCGAGCGUUAUCCGGAUUUAUUGGGUUUAAAGGGAGCGUAGGUGGAUUGUUAAGUCAGUUGUGAAAGUUUGCGGCUCAACCGUAAAAUUGCAGUUGAAACUGGCAGUCUUGAGUACGGUAGAGGUGGGCGGAAUUCGUGGUGUAGCGGUGAAAUGCUUAGAUAUCACGAAGAACUCCGAUUGCGAAGGCAGUUCACUGGACUGUGACUGACACUGAGGCUCGAAAGUGUGGGUAUCAAACAGGAUUAGAUACCCGGGUAGUC